CCUACGGGAGGCAGCAGUGAGGAAUAUUGGUCAAUGGCCGGAAGGCUGAACCAGCCAAGCCGCGUGAAGGACGAAUGUGCCAAGCAUUGUAAACUUCUUUUGUCAAGGGACAAAAUCAGGCUCGAGAGCCUGACCGAGUGUACUUGAUGAAAAAGCAUCGGCUAACUCCGUGCCAGCAGCCGCGGUCAUACGGGGGAUCCGACCGUUAUCCGGAUUUAUUGGGUUUAAAGGGUGCGUAGGGGGGCUGUUAAGUCAGCGGGAAAAGCCUGGGGCUCAACCCCGGCGAGCCGUUGAUACUGGCUGUCUUGAGAUGUCGUGAGGUAUGCGGAAUGCGCAGUGUAGCGGUGAAAUGCUUAGAUAUUGCGCAGAACUCCGAUUGCGAAGGCAGCAUAC
RNAcentral lists this ribosomal RNA (393 nucleotides) under uncultured bacterium. RNAcentral's name for it is "partial 16S ribosomal RNA". It matches the Rfam family "Bacterial small subunit ribosomal RNA", at positions 338 to 729 of the family's 1533-position model. The record is from RNAcentral.